Molecule: small RNA, 573 nt
Filed under: Pan troglodytes (chimpanzee)
Lineage: Eukaryota; Metazoa; Chordata; Mammalia; Primates; Hominidae
Description: processed transcript
Source: RNAcentral
AAACAACUGCUAAACAUGAAUAACAGUUCUACGAGAGUUCUUUAUGCUCUCCUUGCAACUUCCUGUAGGUUUGAGAUUACCUGGAGAUAAAAAGUUAACAUCACCAGCACCGCCCGCCAGCCCGCCAGCCGAAAAGAGCGCAGGGCCUCCCGCGACGACGACUUGCUACUGCCCUAUCCACGCGCGCGCGCGCGCCUCCCCCGAGACUGCACACGGGUGCGCGCCGGCAGCCGCGAGCACGAGAGUUGGCCUCCGCCUCCCGCGACCCCCGGCGCCGGCGGUCUGGCCGUGCGCACCUUCGUGUCGCACUUCAGGGACCGCGCGGUGGCCGGCCACCUGACGCGGGCCGUUGAGCCCCUGCGCACCUUCUCGGUGCUGGAGCCCGGUGGGCCCGGCGGCUGCGCGGCGAGACGACGCGCCACCGUGGAGGAGACGGCGCGGGCGGCCGACUGCCGUGUCGCUCAGAACGGCGGCUUCUUCCGCAUGAACUCGGGCGAGUGCCUGGGGAACGUGGUGAGCGACGAGCGGCGGGUACCUGUCUGAGGAGGAGGUGCUGGACACUGAGAACCCAUU